This 351-nucleotide ribosomal RNA is filed under the name Triticum aestivum (bread wheat). Its description in RNAcentral is "partial small subunit ribosomal RNA". The record is from RNAcentral. Lineage: Eukaryota; Viridiplantae; Streptophyta; Magnoliopsida; Poales; Poaceae.
AUGGCACAGCUCGGGUCUGUCAUUCUUGAUUGUUCAUUUGGUUCGGGCAAAUCUCUCUUUAGGCUGCACGAACGUGACAAUUUUGUAGACAACAGGAAGAAUAUAGAAAAUGCCAGGAAAGGCUCACGCCCCUGGCUUUAUUCUGUCAAGCAAUUUUUGAUAUCAUUUAUUCUGCAAAACACACUGUACAAAUGUUCUAUAAUUCCAGCGAGAAGUUAUUGGCAGAUUGAGUUUAGUGGAAUUGUUAUGUUAUCUAAGAGGGUGGAGGGAAGCAGCUUCUCUUAUGUUGUUUGGGAUAUUUUGGUACAAAAAAGAUAUAUUGAGCAGUGCAUCAAUGCAUCACGAAGAUGA